CUGGAAUGCGAUCCACCCGGUA
Molecule: microRNA, 22 nt
Filed under: Polistes canadensis
Lineage: Eukaryota; Metazoa; Arthropoda; Insecta; Hymenoptera; Vespidae
Description: pca-miR-6065-3p
Source: miRBase by way of RNAcentral